RNAcentral lists this ribosomal RNA (482 nucleotides) under uncultured bacterium. RNAcentral's name for it is "bacterial SSU rRNA". It matches the Rfam family "Bacterial small subunit ribosomal RNA", at positions 501 to 986 of the family's 1533-position model. The record is from RNAcentral.
MUACGUGCCAGCAGCCGCGGUAAUACGGAAGGUCCAGGCGUUAUCCGGAUUUAUUGGGUUUAAAGGGAGCGUAGGCGGAUUGUUAAGUCAGCGGUUAAAGGGUGUGGCUCAACCAUGCAUUGCCGUUGAAACUGGCGAUCUUGAGUGCAGACAGGGAUGCCGGAAUUCGUGGUGUAGCGGUGAAAUGCUUAGAUAUCACGAAGAACUCCGAUCGCGAAGGCAGGUGUCCGGGCUGCAACUGACGCUGAGGCUCGAAAGUGUGGGUAUCAAACAGGAUUAGAUACCCUGGUAGUCCACACAGUAAACGAUGUAUACUCGCGGUUUGCGAUAGAUUGUAAGCCGCCAAGCGAAAGCAUUAAGUAUACCACCUGGGGAGUACGCCGGCAACGGUGAAACUCAAAGGAAUUGACGGGGGCCCGCACAAGCGGAGGAACAUGUGGUUUAAUUCGAUGAUACGCGAGGAACCUUACCCGGGCUUGAAC